This 387-nucleotide ribosomal RNA is filed under the name uncultured Bicosoecida. RNAcentral's name for it is "partial small subunit ribosomal RNA". It matches the Rfam family "Eukaryotic small subunit ribosomal RNA", at positions 30 to 432 of the family's 1831-position model. The record is from RNAcentral. Lineage: Eukaryota; Bigyra; Bicosoecida.
GCUUGUCUCAAAGAUUAAGCCAUGCAUGUCUAAGUAUAAACUGCUUAUACUGUGAAACUGCGAAUGGCUCAUUAAAUCAGUUAUAGUUUAUUUGAUGGUACCUACUACUCGGAUAACCGUAGUAAUUCUAGAGCUAAUACAUGCACAAAGCAGCCCUCACGGGUUGUGUAUUUAUUAGAUACAAUCAGCCCCCUCGGGGUCAUGAUGAAUCAUAAUAACUGAACUAAGCGCAUGCUUUGGCGGCGCUGUUUCAUUCAAGUUUCUGCCCUAUCAGCUUUCGAUGGUAGGGUAUUGGCCUACCAUGGCGUUAACGGGUAACGGAGAAUUAGGGUUCGAUUCCGGAGAGGGAGCCUGAGAGAUGGCUACCACAUCCAAGGAAGGCGCAGG